UACGUAGGGUGCAGGCGUUAAUCGGAAUUACUGGGCGUAAAGCGUGCGCAGGCGGCUUCUCAAGUCAGAUGUGAAAUCCCCGGGCUUAACCUGGGAACUGCGUUUGAAACUGGGAGGCUAGAGUGCGGCAGAGGGGGGUGGAAUUCCACGUGUAGCAGUGAAAUGCGUAGAUAUGUGGAGGAACACCGAUGGCGAAGGCAGCCCCCUGGGCCUGCACUGACGCUCAUGCACGAAAGCGUGGGGAGCAAACAGG
This 253-nucleotide ribosomal RNA is filed under the name uncultured bacterium. RNAcentral describes it as "partial 16S ribosomal RNA". It matches the Rfam family "Bacterial small subunit ribosomal RNA", at positions 524 to 776 of the family's 1533-position model. RNAcentral also lists the same sequence under 1 other name. The record is from RNAcentral.